Molecule: long non-coding RNA, 525 nt
Organism: Poecilia latipinna (sailfin molly)
Lineage: Eukaryota; Metazoa; Chordata; Actinopteri; Cyprinodontiformes; Poeciliidae
Exons: 3
Source: RefSeq, a predicted model, not a curated record
AGCUGCUGUGACAACGCUCUCUGGUCGCGGAGGAAAGUUUUAGGUGAGAACGAGAGAGGUUUGUAGUCGAAAAAGAGCCGAGAUAAAUUACUUGCAGUUUCAGAAGAGUGAAGGCACAUUGCUGUUUUGAAAGACCAACACGACGUGUCUAGCCUCUGAACAAGACUGAAUCGGUGGGGAGAUUGUUUACUGGGAAAUAGUGUUUACUGGACGGCUCGACAGCUACUCAUUUAAGGGCAAGGAGUUAUAACUGAAGAUGCAGUUCAGCCUGAUUCUAAACUCUUUUUUCUGUUUCACAAUAUGGAUGAACUUGGUUCAAGCAAGCGAUGCACCUCCUAAUGGUUGUCCAUGUACUGUGGUCUCCAAAACAAGAAUCCAUCAUUCUUAUAUUGAGAAGUACACCAUUUAGAAGUACGAGAUAUGUACCAUUAGUGCAAUUGCGUUUCGUACAGUGAAAGGAAAGACGAUUUGCUCCGAUCCCAAUGAUGAAUGGGCAAAACAUGUCAUUCGGCAGCUGGAGAAAAG